Molecule: ribosomal RNA, 476 nt
Filed under: uncultured bacterium
Lineage: Bacteria
Description: bacterial SSU rRNA
Rfam family: Bacterial small subunit ribosomal RNA
Source: RNAcentral
GACGAACGCUGGCGGCGUGCUUAACACAUGCAAGUCGAACGGAAGGGCCCCUUCGGGGGUGCUCGAGUGGCGAACGGGUGAGUAACACGUGGGUGAUCUGCCCUGCACUUUGGGAUAAGCCUGGGAAACUGGGUCUAAUACCGGAUAGGACUCUUGGCUGCAUGGUUGGGAGUGGAAAGCUUUUGCGGUGUGGGAUGGGCCCGCGGCCUAUCAGCUUGUUGGUGGGGUGAUGGCCUACCAAGGCGACGACGGGUAGCCGGCCUGAGAGGGUGUCCGGCCACACUGGGACUGAGAUACGGCCCAGACUCCUACGGGAGGCAGCAGUGGGGAAUAUUGCACAAUGGGCGCAAGCCUGAUGCAGCGACGCCGCGUGGGGGAUGACGGCCUUCGGGUUGUAAACCUCUUUCAGUACCGACGAAGCGGAAGUGACGGUAGGUACAGAAGAAGCACCGGCCAACUACGUGCCAGCCGCCGCC